RNAcentral lists this long non-coding RNA (338 nucleotides) under Capsicum annuum. RNAcentral's name for it is "long non-coding RNA (CANN_LNC014446)". Lineage: Eukaryota; Viridiplantae; Streptophyta; Magnoliopsida; Solanales; Solanaceae. The record is from RNAcentral.
GAGAUAAUUCAAGAUUUUUCAAUAUAUAAAGAUAUUUCAAUAAGAUGCACCUUUUUGAAAUCAAAAGUUGUAAAAAAUCCUACUCAGUACUCCCUCUUUCCCGUUGUUUCUUUAUGUUUAUCAUUCUUAUAUUCUAUAUUUUCCCCAAUUUUAAACCUUUUUUUUAUCUUACCCCGUUCAUAUCUUCCUCUUAAUCUAUGUUCUUAACAACUUACUUCUUUAACCACACCUCGAAACUUCAUCUGGCAACUAACACUUGUCCUUCGUCUAUUCUGCAGACAUGUCGGACUAUCAAGACCAGAAUUUCUAGGAAUUUACAGGUUAAUCCAUCGUUGUUA